UGCUACCCGCUGACGAGCGGCGGACGGGUGAGUAAUGCAUAGGAAUCUGCCCGGUAGUGGGGGAUAACCUGGGGAAACCCAGGCUAAUACCGCAUACGUCCUACGGGAGAAAGGGGGCUCCGGCUCCCGCUAUUGGAUGAGCCUAUGUCGGAUUAGCUAGUUGGUGAGGUAAAGGCUCACCAAGGCAACGAUCCGUAGCUGGUCUGAGAGGAUGAUCAGCCACAUCGGGACUGAGACACGGCCCGAACUCCUACGGGAGGCAGCAGUGGGGAAUAUUGGACAAUGGGGGCAACCCUGAUCCAGCCAUGCCGCGUGUGUGAAGAAGGCCUUCGGGUUGUAAAGCACUUUCAGCGAGGAAGAACGCCUAGUGGUUAAUACCCAUUAGGAAAGACAUCACUCGCAGAAGAAGCACCGGCUAACUCCGUGCCAGCAGCCGCGGUAAUACGGAGGGUGCAAGCGUUAAUCGGAAUUACUGGGCGUAAAGCGCGCGUAGGUGGCUUGAUAAGCCGGUUGUGAAAGCCCCGGGCUCAACCUGGGAACGGCAUCCGGAACUGUCAAGCUAGAGUGCAGGAGAGGAAGGUAGAAUUCCCGGUGUAGCGGUGAAAUGCGUAGAGAUCGGGAGGAAUACCAGUGGCGAAGGCGGCCUUCUGGACUGACACUGACACUGAGGUGCGAAAGCGUGGGUAGCAAACAGGAUUAGAUACCCUGGUAGUCCACGCCGUAAACGAUGUCGACCAGCCGUUGGGUGCCUAGCGCACUUUGUGGCGAAGUUAACGCGAUAAGUCGACCGCCUGGGGAGUACGGCCGCAAGGUUAAAACUCAAAUGAAUUGACGGGGCCCGCACAAGCGGUGGAGCAUGUGGUUUAAUUCGAUGCAACGCGAAGAACCUUACCUACUCUUGACAUCCUGCGAACUUGUGAGAGAUCACUUGGUGCCUUCGGGAACGCAGAGACAGUGCUGCAUGGCUGUCGUCAGCUCGUGUUUGUGAAUGUUGGGGUUAAGUCCCGUAACGAGCGCACCCUUGUCUAUUUGCAGCGGGUAAUGCCGGGAACUCUACGAGACUGCGUGACAACCGGAGGAAGGUGGGACGACGUCAGUCAUCAUGCCUACGAGUAGCUACACACGUGCUUCCAAUGCGUACAGUGCAGCCUCGGAAGUUCAGCUAAUCUCCGUAAAACCGGUUCUCUCUAAGG
RNAcentral lists this ribosomal RNA (1193 nucleotides) under Halomonas sp. RNAcentral describes it as "bacterial SSU rRNA". It matches the Rfam family "Bacterial small subunit ribosomal RNA", at positions 79 to 1296 of the family's 1533-position model. Lineage: Bacteria; Pseudomonadati; Pseudomonadota; Gammaproteobacteria; Oceanospirillales; Halomonadaceae. The record is from RNAcentral.